RNAcentral lists this ribosomal RNA (296 nucleotides) under uncultured bacterium. Its description in RNAcentral is "partial 16S ribosomal RNA". It matches the Rfam family "Bacterial small subunit ribosomal RNA", at positions 337 to 650 of the family's 1533-position model. The record is from RNAcentral.
UCCUACGGGGCGCAGCAGUGGGGAAUAUUGCACAAUGGGGGAAACCCUGAUGCAGCGACGCCGCGUGAGUGAGGAAGUAUUUCGGUAUGUAAAGCUCUAUCAGCAGGGAAGAAAAUGACGGUACCUGACUAAGAAGCCCCGGCUAACUACGUGCCAGCAGCCGCGGUAAUACGUAGGGGGCAAGCGUUAUCCGGAUUUACUGGGUGUAAAGGGAGCGUAAACGGAGGAGCAAGUCUGAUGUGAAAAUCCGGGGCCCAACCCCGGAACUGCAUUGGAAACUGUUGAACUGGAGUACA